RNAcentral lists this long non-coding RNA (203 nucleotides) under Nicotiana benthamiana. Its description in RNAcentral is "long non-coding RNA (NBEN_LNC041028)". The record is from RNAcentral. Lineage: Eukaryota; Viridiplantae; Streptophyta; Magnoliopsida; Solanales; Solanaceae.
CAUAACACGCAGCGGAAGACAGUAACAAUCCUAGGUAGAUUUUUCAUGUUUUAAAUUUAUUUACCUGUCAAAGAUCGGGUCUAAGACGUACCUGGUGAAGAGAGUUUCCUUUUUCAGAAUUUCUUCGAUAGUGCGAAGACUCUAUGCGUAUCCACACCGAGACCGAUCCUUGCUAUCAACUCUUUGAUCAAUGAAACCCGCGA